UACGGAGGGUGCAAGCGUUAAUCGGAAUCACUGGGCGUAAAGCGCACGUAGGCGGCCCGGUAAGUCAGGGGUGAAAUCCCACAGCCCAACUGUGGAACUGCCCUUGAUACUGCCGGGCUUGAGUACCGGAGAGGGUGGCGGAAUUCCAGGUGUAGGAGUGAAAUCCGUAGAUAUCUGGAGGAACACCGGUGGCGAAGGCGGCCACCUGGACGGUAACUGACGCUGAGGUGCGAAAGCGUGGGUAGCAAACAGG
RNAcentral lists this ribosomal RNA (253 nucleotides) under Bilophila wadsworthia. RNAcentral's name for it is "partial 16S ribosomal RNA". It matches the Rfam family "Bacterial small subunit ribosomal RNA", at positions 524 to 776 of the family's 1533-position model. Lineage: Bacteria; Pseudomonadati; Thermodesulfobacteriota; Desulfovibrionia; Desulfovibrionales; Desulfovibrionaceae. The record is from RNAcentral.